Long non-coding RNA from Syngnathus typhle (broad-nosed pipefish), 1606 nucleotides. RefSeq lists it as uncharacterized. The transcript is spliced from 3 exons. The record is from RefSeq and is a predicted model, not a curated record. NCBI's taxonomy places the organism in Eukaryota, Metazoa, Chordata, Actinopteri, Syngnathiformes, Syngnathidae.
UGGACCUGAAGAGCACACAGAGGCAACGUGGAAUUCCUAACAUGUACGAGCCCAUAUGUUUUAUGCCAAUGGGAUUAUUAUCAAAAUGUGCUCAUGGGACACGAUUAGCUGCAUGAUUGUGUUUGCUUGAAUGCAUGCCACCUCUUGCAGUGCAUUCCACAGUUCCUCAUCUGAAUGCUGGUUGAAAGGGUCCAGGUUCUUUCUCAUGGUACCCGUGAACAGCACCGGGUCCUGGAAGAGGAAUCGAGAGAGCACAAACAACCAUUCGCACCCACACCUACAGAAAAUUUGGAGCAGUCAAUCGGCCAACCAUGCGUGUCUUUGGAAUGUGGGACAAAAGCAGAAAGAAAUGAUGGAAACAAAUGCGGAUUAUGCAAUGGGGUAAAUGGUCAGCAGCCAUCUACCUGAGGAAUGAUGGACAUCCUCUGACGCAAGUCAUGGAGGCCCAGCUCAGAAGUCAAAAUGCCGUCGACGAAGAUGUUUCCUUGGGGUUCAGCCAGGCGAAACAGGGCUGACACAAGAGAGCUUUUCCCAGCACCUGUCCGACCCACGAUGCCCACCUGACCAUGACAAUCACAUCAGCUUUUCCAGCCAUCAAUGACAUUAUAUUGUAACCCUUCUGACAAUAACAUUUCUGACCUUCUCUUUGGGUUGGAACGUCACUUUCAAGUUGUCUAAAACUUUGGGCCCAUCAGCACUGUAGGAAAAGUUGACCCCGUCAAAGGUCACCCGACCCUUGCUGGGCCAAUUAGGCGGAGGUCGCUUUUUGGUUUCCCAGGGAGCUUCGCUCUCCAGUUCAGUGUAUUCCACCACCCUCUCCACUGAUGUCAUCUGUUAAUUGGUUCACCACAUAUUUAUUUCUAUACCAGCUCACUGAACCAUAAUUUACUCAAACACUUGGAAAAAGUCUUAUUUUGCCUCAUACCAUGUUCUCCACCUCAGCGCUCUGACGAACCCCCCACUGGAACAUACCCAUCAGGGUGAUCGAGUAGCUCAAAGCCAAACCCACAGAGCCGGCGUCCAGUUCUGACAGGAGAAACACAUUUCACAAACCCUUUCGUCUCAUACAAUACUUAUUCAGUAUUAGGGUAGAGGACUUCCUUACGGUCUCGGAGCAGCAGGCAGCCAAAUGUGGUGACUGUCACAAAAAUGGAGCACAUGGCAUCGAGGCGUAUGGCAAACCAGCGAGAUGUGGUCAGGAAAAGGAACCACGCCGCUGUUUCAGGUUAGAAUGAACAUUGUUAGUUUCAUCAACAAAUACUGUCUCUUUCCUCGAUACAACCUGUGUGCAUGUCCUGAUGGGCAUCAAAAGCCUUUUGGAAGCGGCCCUCUGCUCUGAAGGCCCGAAUAGUCCACAGGCCAUGCAGGGAGGAAGACAGGUGCGAGAAAACUGGGCUCCGAGCUGUGGGACCGGAAGGGAGGGCUCAUAAGAAUUAUUCAGACACACGAGCGUGCGCUGUUUUAAACCACUCACUUGUGGACUCGAGACGUUUGAUGUCUCUGGAGGUCUCCAGGAAGUAACGCCGGAGGAAGAGGAAGACAAUGAGUAGGGGGACCACAGGAAGAAGAAUCCAAGGGAUCACACCCACCGCCACUGCAACCACCC